GAUGAACGCUGGCGGCGUGCCUAAUACAUGCAAGUCGAGCGAACAGAUGAGGAGCUUGCUCCUCUGACGUUAGCGGCGGACGGGUGAGUAACACGUGGAUAACCUACCUAUAAGACUGGGAUAACUUCGGGAAACCGGAGCUAAUACCGGAUAAUAUAUUGAACCGCAUGGUUCAAUAGUGAAAGACGGUUUUGCUGUCACUUAUAGAUGGAUCCGCGCCGCAUUAGCUAGUUGGUAAGGUAACGGCUUACCAAGGCGACGAUGCGUAGCCGACCUGAGAGGGUGAUCGGCCACACUGGAACUGAGACACGGUCCAGACUCCUACGGGAGGCAGCAGUAGGGAAUCUUCCGCAAUGGGCGAAAGCCUGACGGAGCAACGCCGCGUGAGUGAUGAAGGUCUUCGGAUCGUAAAACUCUGUCAUUAGGGAAGAACAAAUGUGUAAGUAACUAUGCACGUCUUGACGGUACCUAAUCAGAAAGCCACGGCUAACUACGG
This 496-nucleotide ribosomal RNA is filed under the name uncultured bacterium. Its description in RNAcentral is "partial 16S ribosomal RNA". It matches the Rfam family "Bacterial small subunit ribosomal RNA", at positions 28 to 506 of the family's 1533-position model. The record is from RNAcentral.